RNAcentral lists this ribosomal RNA (727 nucleotides) under uncultured euryarchaeote. RNAcentral describes it as "bacterial SSU rRNA". It matches the Rfam family "Archaeal small subunit ribosomal RNA", at positions 83 to 818 of the family's 1478-position model. The record is from RNAcentral. Lineage: Archaea; Methanobacteriati; Methanobacteriota.
UUACGGCUCAGUAACACGUAGCUAACCUGCCCUGAGUCGAGGAUACUCUCGGGAAACUGAGGUUAAUACUCGAUAGGAGAUGUACCUGGAAUGAUUCAUCUCUCAAAUUCGAGCUUAAGGAUGGGGCUGCGGCGGAUUAGGUUGUUGGCGGGAUAAAAGCCCACCAAGCCGAUGAUCCGUAAGGGCUCUUAGCGGAGAGGCCCUGAGAGGGAAUCUGAGACACUAUUCCCAGCCCUACGGGGUGCAGCAGUUAGGAAUCUUCUGCAAUGCGCGCAAGCGUGACAGAUUGAGUCAGAGUGCUUUUCAUAUGAAAAGCUUUUGCCAAAUGUAAAAAGUUUGGCGAAUAAGGACUGGGUAAGACGGGUGCCAGCCGCCGCGGUAAUACCCGCGGUCCAAGUCGCAGCCAUCAUUAUUGGGUCUAAAACAUCCGUAGCUUGCUUAGUAAGUUUCUUGUGAAAUUCCAUGUCUCAAAUAUGGAGCGGGCAAGAAGUACCGUUAAGCUAGAGACUGGAAGACGUAAGAAGUACGUUUGGAGUAGCGGUAAAAUGUGUUAAUCCCAGACGGACUAACAACAGCGAAGGCAUCUUACGAGGACAGUUCUGACAGUAAGGGAUGAAGGCUAGGGGCGCGAAAGGGAUUAGAUACCCCUGUAGUCCUAGCAGUAAACACUGCACACUAAACAUUAGUACCUCCUCGAGAGGUAUUAGUGCUGAAGAGAAGUCGAAGA